Molecule: long non-coding RNA, 4575 nt
Organism: Naja naja (Indian cobra)
Lineage: Eukaryota; Metazoa; Chordata; Lepidosauria; Squamata; Elapidae
Source: Ensembl
CAAUUCCAACAAGAGUCAACUUAGGACACAAGCUAUGAAACACCUUGCUAGUUAUAACCUGGGAAUUAUUAUUAUUGUUAUUAUUGUUGUUUGUUUGUUUGUUUGUUUGUUUAUUUAUUCGACUUAUAUGCCGCCCCCUCUCCAAAAAGGACUCGGGGCGGCUCACAGCUAAAAAUGCAACAAUAAACAAAUUAAUUAAAAGUAUAUUAAACAAGUUAAGCCGAAUUGAAAAUUAAAACCCAUAGUUAAAAUAGGACCAACCCCAGAGAAUCAGCACAGCCCAGAUUGUAAAAAGAGCCAAGUCUUCUUGUUGUUAUUAUUAUUGUUGUUGUUAUUGUUAUUUUUUCCCAGAUUGUUCCUGUUUGGUUCUUUUUGCAAAUCCAAAGCGCCAGCAAGGCUAUCGAGGCUCUUCUGGGUCUCCGCGGACCACCUGAAGGACGACACCUUUUCUAAGGCAGGCAGCACCUCCUCCUCCUCCUCCUCUUCCCGGCUCGUCACAUGAACCCGGAUCAGAAUGUGUUUACUCGCCAGUUUUGCACCAUGACGCAACCCGAGCAAGGUCCUUGCAACUGUGAUAGGUCGGCGUUCGGGGAGCCAGGCGAUGAGAUGAACGUUACUCAUUUACAGAGGGAUCGGGGUCCACGACUACCCAGUGGAUGAUACCAGCGGCUUUUGCGCAAGGCGCCUGCACUUUCGGGGAAGAGCUGGACCCAGAAGGUGCAGCCACACGCCUCCGACCUCUCCCCCCCCCUUUUUUUUCCGCCUUGAAGGGGAGCCGGGCUGCCCAAAUCUCUCCCUGCAGAAGAAGCCCUGCCGGCGAGCAAGGAAGUUUCAAAGGCCCGGGAGCUCUGCCUUCCACGAUCCGACCAAGCAAAGCAGAAUCCGCCCUUUGCGCUCGCUUCCCGGUCCGCCGACGCCGAUUCCAGGCUCUCCGGUCAACCGCGGCCUUGCCGGCGCCGGGAUCUUGCACGGGUCACCCCGAGGUCCAAAGAAGUCACCAUGCCUGUCAACGUCAGAGACGUGAUGCAGCUUCUCUGCCAUGUAUCUGAAGAGCGAGAAAUGAAAGCUGCCUUCAAGCACUCUGACGAGGCGCCUUGGUGGUGGGAGCAACGGCUUUCUUCGGAGGUUUGAUGGGAGGCCCACCUGGCAUUGCUGUUGGUAAAUUAAUGCUUCGGAUAUGUGCAUAAGUGCCUCCAAGAGCUUUGGAUCCACCAAAUGGUAGCUUUUAAUGUGAGGCGGGGCGGGGGAGAUAGCAAUAGCAAAAACACUUAGACUUGUAUACUGCUUUACAUGCUUUUACGGCCCUCUGUAAGCGGUUUACAAAGUCAGCCUAUUGCCUCCAACAAUUUGGGUCCUUGUUUUACCCACCUCAGAAGGAUGGAAGGUGGACUCAACCUUGAGCCGAUGAGACUUGAACUGCUGGCAGUGGGCAGAGUUUGCUAGCAAUAGCACAUGGACUUAUAUAUGCUUCACAGGGCUUCACAGCUCUCUCUAAGCAGUUUACAGAGUCAGCUUAUUGCCCCUAAUAAUGUGGGUCCUCAUUUUACCCACCUGGGAAGGAUGGAAGGCUGAGUCAACCUUGAGCCUGGUGAAAUUUGAACUGCCAAAUUGCAGGAAGCUGGCAGUCAGCAGAAGUAGCCUGCAGUACUGCACUCUAACCACUGUGCCACCGCAGCUCUGAAGAUAAUAAAGAUGGGGAAAGAGCCACAGGUUAAUUACAUUAACGAACACAUUUAUAUUCGGUUGAAAUUUCCAAAGUCAAAUCAACCUUUUUUUACAGUUCAAGAUUAUAAAUCUUGCAGAGGCAUUGUAAAAAAAGUAAAGUAAAACAAUAAUACGAAUAUUUAUAUGCAUGAUAUAGAUGGUAUAAAAUAUAGAACAGGUGGGAAUUCAAAGGGUAAAAAAUGCUGAGGAUGAAACUCGCUAUUGGAAGUAUACUUUGUAUGUAAAAAGUAGAAAAGAUAUAUUCAUUAAUAUACUAAAUAAGGAUUUCUCAAUCUUGGUAAUCAUGCUAGCUGGAGAAUCCUGGGAGUUGAAGUCCACAAAUUUCAAGUUGCCACAGUCGUGAAAACUGCACUGAAUGCUGUUCUAAAUAGCGAUGGCCCUUAGACUUAUAUAUCGCUUCACAGUGCUUUACAGCCCUCUCUGAGUGGUUUUUGCAGAGUCAGCCUAUUGGCCCCAACAGUCUGGGUCCUCAUUUUACCCACCUCUGAAAGAUGGAAGGUUGAGUCAAUCUUGAACUGGUCAGGAUUGAACUCCAGAAAGUGGGCAGAAUCAGCCUGCAAUAUUGCAUUGUAAGGGUUGUGCCACCAAGGAAGAAAUAGCAAUAGACUUAUAGACUGCUUUGCAGUGCUUUACAGCCCCUUCUAAGUGAUUUACAGAAUCGGCCUCUUGCCCCCAACAAUCUGGGUCCUCAUUUUACCCACCUCGGAAGGACGGAAGGCUGAGUCAACCUACAGCUGGUCAGGAUUGAACUCCAGAAAGUGGGCAGAAUCAGCCUGCAAUAUUGCAUUCUAAGGAUUGUGCCACCAAGGAAGGAAGGAAGGAAGGAAGGAGGGAGGGAGGGAGGGAGGGAAGGAAGGAAGGAAGGAAGGAAGGACUUAGACUUAUAUAUACCACUUCACGGUGCUUUACAGCCCUCUCUAAGUGGUUUUACAGAGUCAGCCUAUUGCCCCCAACAAUCUGGGUCCUCAUUUUACCCACCUUGGAAGGAUGGAAGGCUGAGUCCACCUUGAGCCUGGUGAGAUUCGAACUGUCAAAUUGCAGGCAACCAGCAGCCUGCAGUACUGCACUCUAACCACUGCUCCACCACGGCUCUUACAUAUCUAUAAAUUGCUACGUAAUAGGACAAUGCAUCUAAAAAAUAGCACAGAUCCCUUAUCUGCAUCCAAAACAAAGCUGCUCGCCUUUGCAAAACGGUCAAGCGAUUCUAUCAUUCAGUGAUGGCUUUCCAGUCAAAGUUGAAAGCUGGUUCACCUGUUCUGUUUUUCUAGGAGGUGCCAUUGGUGGCUUGCUUGGGGCCUGGAUGACCUCCGGACAGUUCAAGCCCAUUCCUCAGAUUAUCCUGGAACUGCCACCUGUGGAGCAGCAGCGGCUUUACAAAAAUGUCUGCGCCAUUAUUCAGAAUCUGGACUGGACAGAUGUAGCCCAGCUCACAUCCUUGGUCAUGUCCAACGGUGCCCUUCAGGAAAAAUUGCUUGGAGUCCUGACAAACUAUAUCACUACUGAACUCAGAGGGGAGAUCCAGUAUGGAAACUAGACUUGGAUGUGUGUUUCACGGGUUUGUGAGUGCCCUUAACUCCCUUCUGACCCUUUUCUCUGGCGUUUUAGAUUUUUAAGAUCACGGUUUUUAUAGGAAUAACAAGGUGUCAACCAUGCAUUUUUUUUCUUUUACCCCAAAUAAUCAUUUGGGGAAACAAACAUGGCAAGCUUUGGUUUGCUCAUUCUGGUUCUUUUUUUCUUUUUCAUAAUUAGUCCCUAUUUCAGUACCCAAGGGUGGAUCGAUUUGAGCCUUGAUGUUUAUUGUAUUUAUUUGAAAAUCUAUUUAUGCCACCCCAAAAAUUCAUUGUGGUAUUUGGAGUGCCUUGCUGAGUAGGUACCUCUGAUUCAUCAGACCUUCUAAGCAGCCGCCUCUGUGAGUGAUGCCAUCAAAGAACGUGCCACCAUUGCAUCCUUGCAUUGUGGUCAAGGAUGUAAUGGCAUUUGCACUAUGAUGAUGUCACCAUUUGCUGCUCUUUGAUGUGCAUCAUUCUAGAUGAAUAAUGAUGAUACAAUGCACAGGAAUCAGCCUUUCCUGCUCAGUUACAAGGGUUGGAUCUAUGACCAAUUAUCCUACCCAAAUAUAUUCUUUGGCUGGAGAGAGACAGGCUGAUGGUUAACAUAUCUUUAGGAUGCCAAGUUGGAGAAACCUCAUGUAGAUAUGGCACUGUGGUUGAACUAUGUGGUGUCCUCUUGGCCACAUUAGAAUGAUCAACAUCAAAUUACUUGAAAUUGAGGGUUCACUUUUCCACGGGACAUGUUUCUUCUCUUCCUGCCUUAAUUUUGAGAUGGUGAAGGAGUGAACAGUUGAAAUAGUCCGGAGCCAAAAAUGUAGCAGAUGAUUCAUCUUAGGUAUUUCUCCUGAAGAUAAAAUGCAAAUAAAGCUGAAUUUUUAAUGUGUGAACAUGCCAAGGUUGUGUGGUCAUUAUUCCCCUUCCUUCAGAGAUGCUAAAGUGGGUUUCCUGAACUCAAAUUGUCUUUAGUGGAGAACGUUCAACAGGAGGAGACAAAGGAAGAAAGAUCUGGGAGCAACAAAGAAUAUUAAAAGUCCAACAUUCAGGUUUUACAGUUUGGGGUUUUUUUUAAACAAAUGAAAUUACAGGUAGUCCUUGAUUUACAGCAAUUCAUUUAGUGACCAUUCAAAGGUUACAAAGGCACUGAAAAAAGUGACUUAAAGACAAUUUUUCACAUUUAUGACAAUGGCAGCGUCCAUAGUCAUAUGAUCAAAACUCAAAUGGGCCUUGGUGGUGCAGGCUGUUAAUAGCCUUAGUUCCAGCUGCCUGUAAUUAUAAGGCGCUGAAUCCCACCAGGCUCAAG